RNAcentral lists this small nuclear RNA (107 nucleotides) under Erinaceus europaeus (western European hedgehog). The record is from RNAcentral. Lineage: Eukaryota; Metazoa; Chordata; Mammalia; Eulipotyphla; Erinaceidae.
GUGCUCGCUUUGGCAGCACAUACACUAAAAUUAGAACAAUACAGAGAAGAUUAGCAUGGCCCCUGUGCAAGGAUGACAUGCAAAUUCGUGAGGCAUUCCAUUAUUAU